UUGUCAGCUGCCAGACUGACACCCGGAAUACUCCUCAUACCGGAAGUGGGUGAUAUAGCGGAGAGAUGAGCGGGGAUGAGGAGCCUGCCGGGCUAUUUGACAACGAAGACACCGAGGCCGGAGAGGAGGGACCAGGCGGCGACCUGAAGGGGGCGGAAGUGAUGCCGGGGGAAGAAUCUCUGUUAAAGAAAUAUGAGAUCAGCGUCUCAGAAGCCGAGAAGCGGACCGGGAAAAAUGCGGUGAACAUGCAGGAGACGUACACUGCGUACCUGAUAGAGACCAGGUUGCUGGACGCUCACAAUGAGGGACACAGUUCGCUGGAUUGUCUGUGGAGGAGAUACAGCGAGUUCGAGCUGCUGCGCAAUUACCUGUCUGUCACGUAUCCAUUCAUUGUCGUCCCACCAUUGCCGGAGAAAAGGGCAGAGUUCGUGUGGCACAAGCUCUCGGCUGAUAACAUGGAUCCUGACUUUGUGGAGAGGAGGAGGAUCGGACUGGAGAACUUUCUUCUGCGCGUGGCUUCUCACCCCGUCCUGUGUAACGACAAGAUCUUCAAUACCUUUCUUAAACAGGAAAAUGGAUGGAAGGAGAUGCUGAACGAGGCAGGACUGCAGGUAAAGACAGACUCCAGGCUGAAGGCACUAAAUGCAACUUUCCGUGUCAAAAACCCAGACAAGCGCUUCACAGAGCUGAAACACUACAGCGAUGAGCUGCAGUCCACAAUCUCUCACCUCCUGCGUGUCCGUGCGAGAGUGGCCGACCGGCUGUAUGGUGUCUACAAAGUGCAUGGGAAUUAUGGACGAGUUUUUAGUGAAUGGAGUGCCAUAGAAAAGGAGAUGGGAGAUGGUCUGCAGAGCGCCGGACAUCACAUGGACGUGUAUGCAGCGUCCAUUGAUGACAUCCUGGAGGAGGAGGAACACUAUGCCGAUCAGCUGAAAGAAUAUUUAUUCUAUUCUGAAGCUCUAAGAGCCGUCUGCAGGAAACAUGAGCUGAUGCAGUACGACUUAGAAAUGUCGGCGCUGGAUCUGGCCUCUAAAAAGCAGCAGUGUGAGGAGCUGUCCACCGGGACUGUGAAAACUUUUUCGAUAAAGGGAAUGACCAGCAAACUGUUUGGUCAGGAGACUCCGGAGCAGAGAGAAGCCAAAAUAAAGCUGCUGGAAGAACAGAUAGAAGAGGGACAGGAGCAGCUGAAGGUGCAGAACGUAGAGAGCAGGGACUUUGUGCAGAACGCUUGGUUGGAGAUUGAACGUUUUAAGGAUCAGAAGAAUCGGGACCUGAAGGAGGCUCUGAUCAAUUACGCCGUCAUGCAGAUCAGUAUGUGCAAGAAGGGCAUCCAGGUCUGGACUAACGCUAAGGAAUGUUUCAGCAAGAUGUGACCCCUGGAGCCCAUUGUGUCCGCACGUCCGGGCACUGAAGCUGCAGCCUAAUCUUCUGGGAAUUUGGACGUCCUCUGCCUCAACCGUGAAAAUCUUGGAGACUUUCAUUGUCGUUUUGUUUUUUAACUGGAAUAUCUGACAUGGAGUUGUUCUAGUAGCCGGGUGCAGAGGACGGCAUCGGCCUUCACCUUGGCUGUCUGUGACGUCUCGGUGCCAACAGAUCCGCUACAGAACUCUUUCUUAUUCCUCUACCUUCAGCCGUCACUUUUCAGGCCCGUUGUCUGCACUUUGGCUUGAAGGAAUGACCUGUUCCCCCGGAGCAUGUGCAAUCAAAGGGUCAGUAGUCACUUUGUGCCUUAGUGAUGUCACUAGGGGGAGUAGAUCAGCCCCUGUACCCACCGCCUUCAUGUGGGGGCUUGUAAGGGAUCCCAUUAUUUUUAGAGAUUCUAAAAACUGCAGCUUAAGAUUCCAAAUAUCACAUUUUGGCUUUUCUAUAACCUUGUCCCUUACAUGCAGGAACCCGAUCGCUAUUUAUAAUGGUGCCGUCUGCUGAAAGAGCUUUUGCUGCAGCUGACUUUCAAUUUAAUUUCUUCACCAUUUUCAAGAUCUCUGCUUGCUCCCACUGAAGGAUUAAGAUUUUUUAAUAGAAGUAAUUUACAAAUCUGUUCAACUUUCUGGCACCAGUUAAUUUAAAAUUUAGUUUGCCACCAGAGUACCCCUUUAAUGAUAAGAACUCUGUAAAUUAAGUAUUAGGCUGCUUUCAAAUGCGUCAGUAAAAGCCUGCAGCUGCUGCGCAUGUUUAGAGAUCACAACCGGCACCUGAGGUUGCCUUUUUUAAUAGCGGCAGGUCCAGGCAGCGGCUGCUAUUAUCAAGAGACAGAUAGUCAUUAGUGCCAGAGAUUGUAAUUACAGCCGCUACCUGGACUUGGCAGCUGCGUCCAUUUAGUCGUACACAUGCAGUGCCAACAUUAAUCGCUUUGCUGACAACUGGAGCAGCGGGCCCUGUUCACUUUAAAGGGGUACUCCAGUGGAAAACUUUUUAUUUAUUUUUUUUAAAUCAACUGGUGCCAGAAAAACAGAUUUGUAGAU
This is an RNA transcript of Hyla sarda, 2462 nucleotides long. It is a transcript of the gene named sorting nexin 4, with no coding region annotated. The record is from RefSeq and is a predicted model, not a curated record. The transcript is spliced from 15 exons. NCBI's taxonomy places the organism in Eukaryota, Metazoa, Chordata, Amphibia, Anura, Hylidae.